This is an RNA transcript of Felis catus (domestic cat), 1600 nucleotides long. It is a transcript of the gene named HLA class II histocompatibility antigen, DM beta chain, with no coding region annotated. NCBI's taxonomy places the organism in Eukaryota, Metazoa, Chordata, Mammalia, Carnivora, Felidae. The transcript has 5 exons. The record is from RefSeq and is a predicted model, not a curated record.
ACAAAAGAAGCAAUGGAAUCCCAGGGAGGGAUUUUCCAGGCUCUGUCUCUGACCUCUAAGGUGGAACUGUCUUGGUUUGAUGCCAGAUAAUGCUGCACUCUUCCUGUGCCUCCUUCAUCACAGCAGCCACUUGCUCUAGAAGGGCCUUCCAUCAUCCCAUCUCCAUCUCCAAAUGACGGGACAGACUGAGGGUUUGUAACAUCUUUCUAAGUAACCUCCCUCUAAGGGACAUGAGAAGUUAUCUAGUGCCAGUCUUUUGGAAGAAUUUUGAAAGGAAACUGUUAAACCAAUGGGCACUCCCGGCUACAUAUGUUUUGGGAAUAUUGGGAUUAUUCUCUCCACUGAUCUAGGGAAAUCUACCUACAGACUGGUCUUUCCCACCGGCAAAGAGUUAAAAGAUGGAGUGGUUUAAAGCCUAGGGCAGGAUAAGAUUUACCUGGUAACUGAUGAUGCUAGGCUGAAGCACUGAGCCAUUUGUCUCUACGUUUGUCUCCGCCUACUUCACCGAUCUGACAACUCUUAGUUUGAAACUCUGACUUAGAAGAGCUGGUAGGAACAGGUUUAGUAUCUAGGGGCUGGGUGACUCCAAAUCACUAAUUUAGUGGGGAUCGAGGAACCGGGGCAAUACUGUAUUCCGCGUAGGAUCUGGAGAUCAUCUAUCCAGGCUGGGGCUUCUGGAGCAGGCAAGGACCCAGGGCCCCUGGAAGAACUGGUCCAGGGGACUGAAUUCCCAGUGUGUUCCUAGAGCAGAGCAUGAACACACUCCUGCCGUUGCUGCUAGGCCUCAGCCUGGGCUCCACCAGAGCAGGUGGCUUUUUAGCCCAUGUGGAAAGCACCUGUCUGUUGGAUGAUGAUGGGACUCCAAAGGAUUUCACAUAUUGUGUCUCCUUCAACAAGGAUUUGCUGACCUGCUGGGAUCCUCAAACAUCCCAAAUGGCCCCUUGUGAAUUUGGGGUACUGAGUGUCUUGGCGAAUUACCUCUCAGAUUACCUCAACCAACAGGAAAGCCUACUCCAGCGCUUGUCUAAUGGGCUCCAGGACUGUGCCACACACACCCAGUCCUUCUGGGGAUCACUGACCCACAGGACACGGCCACCAACUGUGCAGGUAGCCAAAACCACUCCUUUUAACACGAAGGAGCGUGUGAUGCUGGCCUGCUACGUGUGGGGCUUCUAUCCAGCUGAUGUGAAUAUCUCAUGGAGGAAGAAUGGGCAGCCUGUCCUCCCUCACAGAAGUGCCCCUAAGAUGGCUCAGCCCAAUGGAGACUGGACGUAUCAGACCGUCUCUCAUUUAGCCACAACUCCCUCUUUCGGGGACACCUACACCUGCGUGGUGGAUCACAUCGGGGCUCUUGAGCCCAUCUGCGAGGACUGGAGGAAGAAAAAGCCGUGGCUGGCAGGCACUUUGGUUUACAUGCUUGGGGCCUAAUGAACAGGAACCAAUCGCCACUGGAUUGCAAGCCCAGGAUUGGAAGUAGUUAAAGCGCCUGGGCUGUCCCCGAUGCAGACACUGAAGGUUUCGGUGGCUGCAGUGACUCUGGGCCUGGGCCUCAUCAUUUUCUCUCUUGGUUUGCUCAGCUGGCGGAAAGCUAGCUCCUCUG